ACGAUAUUGGUACUCCAGAGUUGAGAAGUAUAAAUGUUUCCUCUCGGCUUCCAUCGAGUGUCGAUGGUUGGCUUCCAUUGAAUGUCAAUGGAUGAUGAAUGACAGAGGUCGUCAUGACACAAUCUGGUGUCCGGAUCUUCCCUGAAGCGAAGAUUCGGGUCGGGAAAGUCUAUCACAGAGAAUCAUGCCUUUGAUGAUAGCCGAAUUGAGGUAAUCCAAAUUACCUCUUUUUGUUCUUUUAUACAAAUUUAUUCUAUAUUAUCUGAAUAUGCUCUACUACUUUUGUGGAUUUCUAUUUAGAUAGGGAUUAGAUUAGAAGUUUUUCUUUUUUACGAGUGAAUUGGCUGAAAAAGAUUAAAAACAGUUUGAGACUUUAUUGCAUUGAUACUAGGCACAAAUGAGAUAUAUAUAUAUAUCAAGCGACAACAUCUAAUAAUAGAGAGAAUUGGUUAACCUGGCUGGUUUCUUGUGUUCUGUUUUGAGUCUUACACAUUCAAUAUCUUACUGUGGUUACUUGCAGAAGACUUAUAUAUCUAAAAGGAAACAUAAAGAACUUGACACCAUGUUACUACACAUUUACGUAAGAGUUUAAGAAAUCUAAAAGAAUGGUAUCCUUUUUAUAGCUUAAGAAUUCUAUUCAAUGCUAAGAGUUUAGUAAACCAAAUUAAAAACAUAAGCAUAACAUUUUUCUGUUUACGGAAAUAAUUAGUGAACCGGAUUAAACCCGGAAUUAAGUUGUGUCUUUAAAACUUCAAGUAUUUAUUAAAAAGGGAUUAGGUCACCAAUACUCACUCAGCAAAAUGGUAGUAACUCAUCAUAAUGAUGGAGUCUCACCAGGGUUCGAGUAACUAUAUUGGUAUUUAGAAGAUUAAUCUCCCUCUGGCUGGGCAGCUGUAUGUUGUCUAGUCUCGGGAUCUUCCCUGAAAUGAAGAUUUGUUAUUUAGUCUAUCACAUUGACUAAUGUCUUUGGUGUAGCCAAAUUGAGGUAAUCUUAAUUACCUCUUUUUUUAAAAUUAAUGGAAGGCGACUUUAAGGGUGUAAGCACAACCGCGACUGAUUCAACCUUCCCCCAAGUCCCUUCCUUUCUUUCCAAAGCAAUAUAUAAGUACCAAAUCUUCCCAUCUUACUUUUACUAAUCCGACUCUGAUCAGUGCCAAAAAUCACCAGCUCUCUACCAAAAUUCACCAUUUUAGACUCCUUGAGAAGCACGUUAGCCGGAAAACCUUGUAAAUCCCUCAAGGGUUUCCAAUGCUUCUCCUUUGGAUCAUACACGAUUAUUGGAUAACACACUCUUGACUCAUGAAGACUAACAGAAAACAAGACACUCUUAAUCACACAAGACGGCUCUUGCCUCAGAUCACUCAACGUAGAUUUUUGGAAUUGAAAACCGUACUUAGGACUGAAUUUAUCAUGGGUUUGUUGGUUAAAAAUGAGAUGAGAGGAGCUUUAAACCCUAGGUCAUGAAACUGAAUCAAUAAGUUAACUGAUGAAGCUUGAAACCGAAGAGAUCGUGGUCUUGUGGGAGUCGAUGUGGCAGCAUGACAAAGUUUUUCCUUCUAGAUUAGUUGACGUGACUUCUCCUAUGAGCUUUUUUAUUACUGGACACAUGGAAAAACCUCACAUAGUCAAUUUUAUUAGUAGUAAAUUGUAUUCAUGGUCGAACCUUGUUUAUGUAUGAAUAAUUUUCUCACAUAAGCAUAACUUGCUCUUGGUUGGCUUUGUUCUGAUUUUUUAACGAACCGGAUUAAACCAUGUAUUUAGUUAUAUGUUAGAAUGGUUUAAGUAUUGAUUAAUUAGCGAGAAGGUUACCAAUUCCGGCCCAGUAAAGUGGUAGUGACUCAGCAUGAUAAGAGAGUCUCACCAGGGUUCGAGUAGCGAUAUUGGUAGCCCGUAUUCGUAACACCGUAAUCGCAACAAGGUACAAGGACAAGCAACCUAUAGCAAUAUUGGUAGUCCAACAAUAAUAACUUGUAUAUCCCAGAUAAUCAUGCCUUUGGUGGUAGCCAAGUUGAGGUAAUCUAAAUUACUUCUUUUUUUUUAAUCUUAAAAUCAUGCAGCGAACCUUGACACCGAGGGCCUCAAAGAUGGAGGUGGAGCCACGGAGUCACUUUUGAGAGACUCAAUCAACUAGGUUCUUGAUCGAGACCAGUUUCCAAAAACAGCCCUUAUCAUCAAAACCCGUGACUUUUGGUAAAUGUAAUGCGUACCACAAGAGAAACUUAUAUCUUAAGGUUCGUGGUGUGGAUAUGAACCCAGUGGAGCAUUCUCAUGGAGGAGGUAGCCAUCAGCAUAGAUCACGCCAGUACGUACAGUUAGGCGUGAUGCACCUGGUGGAUAAAAGGUUGGUCUUAUCGCUGCUAGGAGGACUGGUCGUCUCAGAGGUCAAGCUGCUACAACCGCCAAGGUCGACUAGGGUUGUUAAACAUAAACUUCUUUACUUUUUUAAAAAAAGAUUUAAUUCAUAGUACCAAACUUGAAUACAAUCUAGACUAUCCAUAGAAUCGCAAGAAAGAGAGAUAGAAACAUGGAACUUUUGAAGACCGUUACAAAAUGAAGUUGCUCAUAUUCUAGAAGCAAAAUGGGUCUUGUUAAGUCAGAAGAAUGUGAUAACUUCCAGAAGAAUCUAUAUAUCCAAAAGCGUUGGCCAUAUUAUUGAAACUGCCUUCCGAAAUAAAGAUAUCAGUCAAAAGCAAAGGUUGCUUGGGCUUCAGUUUGUCUGCCUAAAGCUGAAGGAGGUUUGGGUCUGCGAAGGCUCUCGGUCUGGAACAACAAUCUGUUGUAGGACCUUAAUAUUUCAAUAAGGGCACAAUCUAAUAUUUGUAAAACAAAAAACAUAGAAGAACGGAGAUUGACGGUGAUAAACAGAGUCGAGAACGUUGAUGAUCUCUCUCUUUAACUCAAAAAUCGCCCCGUAGUGUGCCGGUUUGAUGACAAUUAGAGUCCCAGGAUAAAACUGUUUCUUCUUUUGAUUGCAACACUCAAAUCAAAAGCUAAACGAACACUAAUCUUGUGUUGUACUCUCAGACACAAACAAAAAACAAGAAAAGAGAAGAGAAGGAUUUUUUAUGCUUUGAUCGAUGAUCCGAAUGAGAAGACAAACGCUUGACUUUAUACUAAAAGCUCAACGUCUAUGCCAUAAAUAGGAGGAUACGUGAGUUAUGAGAAUUUGAUUCUCUAACGUCAAUGUCGUAAAUUGAUUCCAACCUUAAUUCAUGAGACUUAAUUAGGUUGUUACAAAAUCAAUCAAGGAGAUAUUUCUUUGAAUUAGUCAACAACAUAAUUCAAUAUGGAUUAGGACAAACAAGAAUAAACUAAUGGGUUACAAGCCCAUAUUAUUAAUCUCAAAUCCCAAAUCCAACCCAUAUGUGUUUGGGUUUCUCCUUUGACCUCCAAAGUGGUCCAAUUAACAUUUAGUUAAAAUUCCAAGCUUAGCAAGCUAACCACUUUGGACCUCCAUUUCUCAUUCAAACGAACUCCGUUUUUGACAUUCCAAUACACCACCACGUAGUGCUCGCAGCAACGAUUCCAUCGUGCCCAAGAACCGGUCAUUCCGAUGAACGUCUUCACCGGAAACUCCACCGUAACAAUGGUCAAAACCAUUUUGUCAAAAACAAGUUCCAACAUCUGUGUCUACGGCUCAUUUGGUUGCUGUUCUCUAGCAGUGGUUCUCUUUGGGUUGCUUGGCACAAUUAUCAUCAGAAGCUCUCAGAAACUAGUUUUUGGAGUCUAAAAGGACGAAAUAGUGACUCUUGGCUGUGGAAAUCUCUGUUAAAGCUGAGGCAUUUGGCUUCUCAAUUCAUCAAAUGCAAGGUCGGAAAUGGUAGAAAGGCUUGGUUUUGGUAUGACAGUUGGACUCCAUUAGGCCCUUUAAUCAAUCUGUUUGGCGAUCAAGGUCCUAGAACCACAAGAAUUCCACUCUCAGCCAAAGUGGGGGACGCUUGUAAUGCUUUUGGGUGGAAGAUGGCUGCUCCAAGGUCUGAUCAGGCUGAAUCCCUCCAAAUCCAUUUGUCUUCUAAGCAGCUGCCCACUAGUUCCUCAGAGGAUGAUGUAUUUGAGUGGGAAAUUGAUGGUAAAUCAAGCAUUGGAUUUUCCUCUUCUAAAACUUGGGAGAAGUUAAGGCCCAGAGAAUCAGAAAAAAUAUGGGCGCCUCUCAUCUGGUUCAAAGGAAACACUCCAAGGUUUGCUUUCAACUUCUGGAUUACUAACCUGGACAGACUUCCUACUAUGUCUAGGCUUGCUUCCUGGGGUCUGCCUGUGUCCACAGUUUGUAGCUUAUGCUCCAGUCCUGUCGAAAACAGAGAUCAUUUGUUUCUUCUUUGUAGUUUUACUCGAGUGCUAUGGGACAAAAUUUGGCUCAGACUCGGGCAGCAAGCUGUUUAUUUCAGCGACUGGACAUCCUUGCUGGCUUGGGUAAAGGGACAAAGCAGUUCUGUUCCACGAACCCUUAGGCUUCUGAUUAUCCACACCUUGGUCUAUAUGGUUUGGAAACAAAGAAAUAAUAUCGUUCAUAAUCAGAUCACCAUCUCUCCUAUUGCCAUCUUCAGAGUUAUCGACCGUCAGAUCAUAAACACUAUCACUGCUAGAAGUUUAGGAAUCUUAUGGCGUUAUGGCUACACUAAUGGAUCCAAGGUUUUUCCUUUCUGAGAAUUAGUAUUUUUCGUAUUGGGCUUUGUUUUUUCCUUCUUUUUUUUUGGCAAAGCUUAAUUUCUUAGGUCUUAUAUCUCUUGUAACACCUAUCUUUCAUUUAUAUUUAGCAAAAAAAAAAAAAAAAAAAAAAAAAACACUGUUUUGUACAUAUCAACUAGUCUUUAUAUUUCGUCAAAUUUGAUAUUGUAGAAGUGAGGGUGUUAAGUUUUACUCAUGCAUAAAAGCCACAAACACCGGUUAACUAAAUCGGUUUGUUCAUCUACAGAUCCCUAAACCAAGAUUUCAUAUUUGCUCAUAUCAUAGAAGCACAUGCCUGAUUGCGAUCACUUGCAGAAGAACAUAAAUCCAAAAGCAAACAGAAAGACCUUGACUAAAACCUUAAAAUAUACAGUAUAUCCUUUGUUUCUUGUGUUCUGUUUUCAGUCUUACUCUUUCAAUAUCUGACUGUGAUUACUUGCAGAGGAAUUAAAUAUUUAAAAGCAAACAGAAAGAACUUGACACCAUGCGAUGUUACUUCACAUUUACGUAAUUGUUUAAGAAUUCUAUUCAAUGCUACUUCCGUAAGAGUUUAGUAAACCAAACUGAAAACAUAAGCGUAACAUUUCUCUGGUUAUGGAAAUAUUUAGUGAACCGGAUUAAACCCGGAAUUAAGCUGUGCGUUUAAAAUGUUAAGUACUAAUUAGACAGAGGAAAAGUCACCAAAACUCAACCAGCAAAGUGGUAGUGACUCAUCAUGAUAGUCUCACCAGGAUUCGAGUAAUGAUAUUGGUACCCCGAAAGAAGGAAAAGUGUCUCCUUGCUUCCAUUGAGUGUCGGUGGAAGAUGAAUGACAUAGGAGUUUAGACGUAAACUCUGUGUCUCCCCAGCUGCUUGACAUAGGAAAAAGGACGAGUUAAUCUUAACAGCCUCUUAGCCACUCUUGCUUCAUCUUUGUUAUCCAACCAACAAGCUGAAUUACAUUAUAAUAAAGUCUGAAAUCUGAAUUCUUCAUCAAAAGUACAUAUACUUACUCAUACAGUCAUACUCAUUAUAUAUAAGCAUACCUGCAAGUAUCAUCAAACCGUAACAAAGGAUGAUUUUAAGGGUGACCGCGACUGAUUCAACCUUCCCCCAAGUAUCACCUUCUCUCUUUCUUUCAAUGCAAUCUCUACGUACCAAAUAUUUUGCUUCCCAUCAUACUUUUACUAAACCGACUCUGAUCAGUGCGAAAAAUCAGAAUUCUAGAUUCCUUGCGAAGCAAGUUAGCCGGAAAACCUUCUAAAACCAUCAAGGGUUUCCAAUGCGUCUCCUUUGGAUCAUGCACAACAUAUCAUCAAUCACACAAGACGGCUCUUGCCUCAGAUCACUCAACUUAUCUUAUCAUCUCCAUGAUUUCAAUUUAGUUUCUUUGGGUUUGUAAGCAUAAGAACAGAACAGUGACUAUCCCUCAAGUAAAUCUUCUCUUCCAUCACCACGUAUGUCUCAAACACAGUCGCAGAGGUAGGUUCGGACAAAAGGUUAGUCUUAUUGCUGCUAGGAGGAGAGGUCAAGACAAGCUGCUGCUUCAUCCGCCAAGGCCGACUAGGGUUGUUAAUUUAAACAUAAAGAAACAUCUGUUUCUUUUCUCGUUUGGACCUUGUUCUCAAAUUCUUAACAUUUUUAUGAUAAUCUUUGUCUCCUCUCUCUAAAAGUUUAUAGUAUACAUUGCAAAUUUUCAUCACAAGUUUGAUUAUUAUCCGAAUCUUGUUUACAGAUGAGUAAAUUCUGCAACCUUGUUCUGUUGUUUAUACGAGAACAAGGAAAGCACAUGAGGCCAUUUUUUGGAAAUCUUAAAGUGAAAACCAGAUUGAACCGCAAGCGUAACAUUUUCUGGUUAUGGAAAUCUUUAGUGAACCGGAGUAAACCCAGAUUCAGCUUAAGUAUUUAUUAAAUAGAAAAAGGUCACCAAAUCUCACCCAGCAAAGUGGUAGUGACUCAGCAUGAUAUGAGAGGCUCGCCAGGGUUCGAGUAACGAUAUUGGUACCCCCCCCGAAUGAGAAGAAGACUCAUGUCUCCUCUCGGUUUCCAUCAAGUGUUGGUGGAUGAUGAAAGAGUUUAAAAAUGUAAACUCCUUCAUGAAUUGGCUGGAAUGCAGUUGCAGCACAGCCUCCGGGACUGUCUAUCACUGAGAAUCGUGCCUUUGAUGAUAGCCGAAAUGAGGUAAUCAAAAUUACCUCUUUUUUUAUUUUUAUAUAU
This 6861-nucleotide long non-coding RNA is filed under the name Arabidopsis lyrata. RNAcentral describes it as "long non-coding RNA (ALYR_LNC002576)". The record is from RNAcentral. Lineage: Eukaryota; Viridiplantae; Streptophyta; Magnoliopsida; Brassicales; Brassicaceae.